GCAGGCGCGUAAAUUACCCAAUCCUGAUUCAGGGAGGUAGUGACAAGAAAUAACAACCUAUGUCCUUUUAGGACUGUGGAUUGUAAUGAGUUCAAUUUAAAAUACUGAACGAGGAACAAUUGGAGGGCAAGUCUGGUGCCAGCAGCCGCGGUAAUUCCAGCUCCAAUAGCGUAUAUUAAAGUUGUUGCAGUUAAAAAGCUCGUAGUUGAAUUUCUAUAUAGGUAUAAAUUGGAGCAAUUCAUUUAUAUUUAUAUAUCCGACAUUGAACUAUAACGGUUAUUUAGUUAAUUUUAUAGCGAACUGUCCUUUUACUUUGAAAAAAUUAGAGUGUUUCAGGCAGGCAAUUGCCCGAAUAUCUUAGCAUGGAAUAAUGGAAUAGGACUUUGGUUCAUUUGAUUGGUUAUUGAAUCAGAGUAAUGAUUAAUAGGGACAGUUGGGGGCAUUAGUAUUUAAUUGUCAGAGGUGAAAUUCUUGGAUUUAUUAAAGACUAACUUAUGCGAAAGCAUUUGCCAAGGAUGUUUUCAUUAAUCAAGAACGAAAGUUAGGGGAUCAAAGACGAUCAGAUACCGUCCUAGUCUUAACUAUAAACUAUACCGACUCAGGAUUGGCGAUGUUAAAACUUCGUCAGCACUGUAUGAGAAAUUAAAGUCUUUGGGUUCUUAGUUGGUGGAGUGAUUUGUCUGGUUAAUUCCGUUAACGAACGAGACCUUAACCUGCUAACUAGUUUGUAUUCUCACAGAGUACAAUACUUCUUAGAGGGACUAUAUAUGUUAAGUAUAUGGAAGUUUGAGG
Molecule: ribosomal RNA, 792 nt
Filed under: uncultured alveolate
Lineage: Eukaryota
Description: bacterial SSU rRNA
Rfam family: Eukaryotic small subunit ribosomal RNA (bases 1-661)
Source: RNAcentral